GCGUUUGCAAUACCAACCUGGCAAUCAGUUCUACAAGACUAUCAUGAAAAUCAGUUGUACUCUGUUUUGCCCUCCUCCAGCACAUUGCUUGACCAGAGCUGCUGAUGGGGAACCUAAGCUAGGUUCAGGUGCUGCAGCGGUGAGUACAUCACUCUGCUCAUCUGCUGAUAAUGUAGCCCGCGCUAGUCGGAAGCUUUCCUGAUGACACAUCGUUCUCCCGGCACCCUCCGGCAAGAUGGACCCAUGACCAAGGAUAAAAGAAUAAUGCGGUAGCUUUC
This 278-nucleotide long non-coding RNA is filed under the name Setaria italica (foxtail millet). RNAcentral's name for it is "long non-coding RNA (SITA_LNC005100)". Lineage: Eukaryota; Viridiplantae; Streptophyta; Magnoliopsida; Poales; Poaceae. The record is from RNAcentral.